This 491-nucleotide ribosomal RNA is filed under the name uncultured bacterium. Its description in RNAcentral is "partial 16S ribosomal RNA". It matches the Rfam family "Bacterial small subunit ribosomal RNA", at positions 29 to 507 of the family's 1533-position model. The record is from RNAcentral.
AGUGAACGCUGGCGGUAGGCCUAACACAUGCAAGUCGAACGGCAGCACAGUAAGAGCUUGCUCUUACGGGUGGCGAGUGGCGGACGGGUGAGGAAUACAUCGGAAUCUACUUUUUCGUGGGGAUAACCGAGGGAAACUUACGCUAAUCCCGUAUUCGACCUACCGGUGAAAGCCAGGGAUCUUCGGACCUUUCGCGGUUGAAUGAACCGAUGUCGGAUUAGCUAGUUGGCGGGGUAAAGGCCCACCAAGGCGACGAUCCGUAGCUGGUCUGAGAGGAUGAUCAGCCACACUGGAACUGAGACACGGUCCAGACUCCUACGGGAGGCAGCAGUGGGGAAUAUUGGACAAAGGGCGCAAGCCUGAUCCAGCCAUACCGCGUGGGUGAAGAAGGCCUUCGGGUUGUAAAGCCCUUUUGUUGGGAAAGAAAAGCAGCAGGUUAAUACCCCGCUGUUCUGACGGUACCCAAAGAAUAAGCACCGGCUAACUUCGUG